UGGGGAAUUUUGGACAAUGGGCGAAAGCCUGAUCCAGCAAUGCCGCGUGUGUGAAGAAGGCCUUCGGGUUGUAAAGCACUUUUGUCCGGAAAGAAAUCCUUGGCUCUAAUACAGUCGGGGGAUGACGGUACCGGAAGAAUAAGCACCGGCUAACUACGUGCCAGCAGCCGCGGUAAUACGUAGGGUGCAAGCGUUAAUCGGAAUUACUGGGCGUAAAGCGUGCGCAGGCGGUUUGCUAAGACCGAUGUGAAAUCCCCGGGCUCAACCUGGGAACUGCAUUGGUGACUGGCAGGCUAGAGUAUGGCAGAGGGGGGUAGAAUUCCACGUGUAGCAGUGAAAAUGCGUAGAGAUGUGGAGGAAUACCGAUGGCGAAGGCAGCCCCCUGGGCCAAUACUGACGCUCAUGCACGAAAGCGUGGGGAGCAAACAGGAUUAGAUACCCUGGUAGUCCACGCCCUAAAACGAUGUCAACUAGUUGUUGGGGAUUCAUUUCCUUAGUAACGUAGCUAACGCGUGAAGUUGACCGCCUGGGGAGUACGGUCGCAAGAUUAAAACCCAAA
RNAcentral lists this ribosomal RNA (559 nucleotides) under uncultured bacterium. Its description in RNAcentral is "partial 16S ribosomal RNA". It matches the Rfam family "Bacterial small subunit ribosomal RNA", at positions 355 to 905 of the family's 1533-position model. The record is from RNAcentral.